This 301-nucleotide ribosomal RNA is filed under the name uncultured bacterium. RNAcentral describes it as "partial 16S ribosomal RNA". It matches the Rfam family "Bacterial small subunit ribosomal RNA", at positions 509 to 807 of the family's 1533-position model. The record is from RNAcentral.
CAGUAGCCACGGUAAUACGUAGGGGGCAAGCGUUAUCCGGAAUUACUGGGUGUAAAGGGAGCGUAGACGGUUAAACAAGUCUGAAGUGAAAUGCCGGGGCUCAACCCCGGAGCUGCUUUGGGAACUGUAGAACUGGAGUGUCGGAGGGGUAAGCGGAAUUCCCAGUGUAGCGGUGAAAUGCGUAGAUAUUGGGAGGAACAUCGGCGGCGAAGGCGGCUUACUGGACGACAACUGACGUUGAGGCUCGAAGGCGUGGGUAGCAAACUGGAUUAGAUACCCCCGUAGUCCCUGUCUCUUAUAC